RNAcentral lists this ribosomal RNA (600 nucleotides) under Syncephalastrum racemosum. RNAcentral's name for it is "eukaryotic LSU rRNA". It matches the Rfam family "Eukaryotic large subunit ribosomal RNA", at positions 47 to 657 of the family's 3401-position model. Lineage: Eukaryota; Fungi; Mucoromycota; Mucoromycetes; Mucorales; Syncephalastraceae. The record is from RNAcentral.
UAAGCGGAGGAAAAGAAAAUAACCAUGAUUGCCCUAGUAACGGCGAGUGAAGAGGCAAAAGCUCAAGUUUGGAAGCUCAAUGGUUUAACCAUUGCGCAUUGUAAACUGAAAACAGGAUCAAUCAGGUACACCGGGUGAUAAGUUCCUUGGAAUAGGACAUCAUGGAGGGUGAGAAUCCCGUCUUUGACCCGAGUCUAGUAUCUUUUGUAUUGGCCUGUUCAAGAGUCAGGUUGUUUGGGAAUGCAGCCUAAAGCUGGAGGUAAAUCCCUCCUGAAGCUAAAUAAUGGCGAGAGACCGAUAGCGAACAAGUACCGUGAGGGAAAGAUGAAAAGAACUCUGAAGAGAGAGUUAAACAGUACGUGAAAUUGCUUAAAGGGAAGCAUAUAAAGCUAGGAUGCGAUUGUUUUCUUCAGGUUGAGCUUUGGCUUGACUGUUCAGAAGGAUAAUCCAAGACAACAAGAAUUGGAGGAGGAGAAUAAGCCAUUGGGGAAGGUAAUCCUUCGGGAUGUUUAUAGACCUGAUGGUUCGCGCUCUUCUUUCGAUUGAGGUACGCUUUUUUUAAAGGUUGUUGUCUGAAUGGCUUUAUAUGGCCCGUCUUGA